RGGGGGACGGAGAAGGCUAUGUUAGCCGGGCGACGGUUGUCCCGGUUUAAGCAUGUAGGCUGGUUAUCCAGGCAAAUCCGGAUAAUCAAGGCUGAGGUGUGAUGACGAGGCACUACGGUGCUGAAGUAACAAAUGCCCUGCUUCCAGGAAAAGCCUCUAAGCAUCAGGUAACAUCAAAUCGUACCCCAAACCGACACAGGUGGUCAGGUAGAGAAUACCAAGGCGCUUGAGAGAACUCGGGUGAAGGAACUAGGCAAAAUGGUGCCGUAACUUCGGGAGAAGGCACGCUGGUGUGUAGGUGAAGUCCCUGCGGAUGGAGCUGAGACCAGUCGAAGAUACCAGCUGGCUGCAACUGUUUAUUAAAAACACAGCACUGUGCAAACACGAAAGUGGACGUAUACGGUGUGACGCCUGCCCGGUGCCGGAAGGUUAAUUGAUGGGGUUAUCCGUAAGGAGAAGCUCUUGAUCGAAGCCCCGGUAAACGGCGGCCGUAACUAUAACGGUCCUAAGGUAGCGAAAUUCCUUGUCGGGUAAGUUCCGACCUGCACGAAUGGCGUAAUGAUGGCCAGGCUGUCUCCACCCGAGACUCAGUGAAAUUGAACUCGCUGUGAAGAUGCAGUGUACCCGCGGCAAGACGGAAAGACCCCGUGAACCUUUACUAUAGCUUGACACUGAACAUUGAGCCUUGAUGUGUAGGAUAGGUGGGAGGCUUUGAAGCGUGGACGCCAGUCUGCGUGGAGCCAACCUUGAAAUACCACCCUUUAAUGUUUGAUGUUCUAACGUUGGCCCCUGACCGGGGUUGCGGACAGUGUCUGGUGGGUAGUUUGACUGGGGCGGUCUCCUCCCAAAGCGUAACGGAGGAGCACGAAGGUUAGCUAAUCCUGGUCGGACAUCAGGAGGUUAGUGCAAUGGCAUAAGCUAGCUUGACUGCGAGCGUGACGGCGCGAGCAGGUGCGAAAGCAGGUCAUAGUGAUCCGGUGGUUCUGAAUGGAAGGGCCAUCGCUCAACGGAUAAAAGGUACUCCGGGGAUAACAGGCUGAUACCGCCCAAGAGUUCAUAUCGACGGCGGUGUUUGGCACCUCGAUGUCGGCUCAUCACAUCCUGGGGCUGAAGUAGGUCCCAAGGGUAUGGCUGUUCGCCAUUUAAAGUGGUACGCGAGCUGGGUUUAGAACGUCGUGAGACAGUUCGGUCCCUAUCUGCCGUGGGCGCUGGAGAAUUGAGGGGGGCUGCUCCUAGUACGAGAGGACCGGAGUGGACGCAUCACUGGUGUUCGGGUUGUCAUGCCAAUGGCACUGCCCGGUAGCUAAAUGCGGAAGAGAUAAGUGCUGAAAGCAUCUAAGCACGAAACUUGCCCCGAGAUGAGUUCUCCCUGAGACUAUAAGUCUCCUGAAGGAACGUUAAAGACGAUGACGUUGAUAGGCCGGGUGUGUAAGCGCAGCGAUGCGUUGAGCUAACCGGUACUAAUGAACCGUGAGGCUUAACCUUACAACGCCGAAGAUGUUUUG
RNAcentral lists this ribosomal RNA (1505 nucleotides) under Klebsiella pneumoniae. Its description in RNAcentral is "Large Subunit Ribosomal RNA; lsuRNA; LSU rRNA". It matches the Rfam family "Bacterial large subunit ribosomal RNA", at positions 1467 to 2925 of the family's 2925-position model. RNAcentral also lists the same sequence under 1 other name. The record is from RNAcentral. Lineage: Bacteria; Pseudomonadati; Pseudomonadota; Gammaproteobacteria; Enterobacterales; Enterobacteriaceae.